RNAcentral lists this ribosomal RNA (244 nucleotides) under uncultured Gardnerella sp. RNAcentral's name for it is "partial 16S ribosomal RNA". It matches the Rfam family "Bacterial small subunit ribosomal RNA", at positions 110 to 354 of the family's 1533-position model. The record is from RNAcentral. Lineage: Bacteria; Bacillati; Actinomycetota; Actinomycetes; Bifidobacteriales; Bifidobacteriaceae.
GUAAUGCGUGACCAACCUGCCCACUGCUCCAGAAUAGCUCUUGGAAACGGGUGGUAAUGCUGGAUGCUCCAACUUGACGCAUGUCUUGUUGGAAAGUGUUUAGUGGCAUGGGAUGGGGUCGCGUCCUAUCAGCUUGUAGGCGGGGUAAUGGCCCACCUAGGCUUCGACGGGUAGCCGGCCUGAGAGGGCGGACGGCCACAUUGGGACUGAGAUACGGCCCAGACUCCUACGGGAGGCAGCAGGU